UAUUAUAAUUGGGGUAGCCCCCCAAAUAUUGGGACGUAUAAAAAAAGACAACUCUGUUCCGCAGAGUAGCUGUUGACAUAAUACUUUUCAUGCGGAUGUCAUCCAUAUCAACUUUCGAUGCCAGUUUCUGCGCCUACCAUGGUGACCAUGGGUAAUGGGGAAUCAGUGUUCCAUUCCGUACAGGGACCCUGAGAAACGGCUACCACAUGCAAGGUAUGCAGCAGGCGCACAAAUGACCCACUCCUGACGCGGGAAGGUAGUGACGACAAAUAACAAUACAGAACUCUUUAGAGGCCCUGUAAUUGUAAUGAAUCCACUUGAAAUCCUUUAACUCUGAUCAAUUGGAGGGAAGUCUGGUGCAGAGCCACUGACCCAUGUAUGCUACACCUGAAACUCCACUA
This is a non-coding RNA of Pelobates cultripes (western spadefoot toad), 401 nucleotides long. Lineage: Eukaryota; Metazoa; Chordata; Amphibia; Anura; Pelobatidae. The record is from the annotation of a GenBank genome assembly.